GGGCCGGUAGUUCAGUUGGGAGAACGCCUGAUUUGCAUUCAGGAGGUCGUGGGUUCGACUCCCAUUCGGUCCACCA
This 76-nucleotide transfer RNA is filed under the name Pseudomonadota bacterium. RNAcentral describes it as "Proteobacteria bacterium tRNA-Ala". It matches the Rfam family "tRNA". From Rfam's summary of the family: Transfer RNA (tRNA) molecules are approximately 80 nucleotides in length. Their secondary structure includes four short double-helical elements and three loops (D, anti-codon, and T loops). Further hydrogen bonds mediate the characteristic L-shaped molecular structure. tRNAs have two regions of fundamental functional importance: the anti-codon, which is responsible for specific mRNA codon recognition, and the 3' end, to which the tRNAs corresponding amino acid is attached (by aminoacyl-tRNA synthetases). tRNAs cope with the degeneracy of the genetic code in two manners: having more than one tRNA (with a specific anti-codon) for a particular amino acid; and 'wobble' base-pairing, i.e. permitting non-standard base-pairing at the 3rd anti-codon position. Lineage: Bacteria; Pseudomonadati; Pseudomonadota. The record is from RNAcentral.